CGCGCUGGGGGUGGAGGGUGUCGGCGUUGUGCAUCUGGAGAGGAAAAUAAUUAAAUUUCCCGUGUAGAACGAUCUGUAGGUGUUUAAUUUGGGUGAGGGAGUGAUUAUAAGAUCAUUCUGCUUUGCCAUGAGCUCUGACAACUAAGAUUGGCGCCAGCAGUGACGACAGUGCCGGCACCCUUGGCGGCAGUGAGGGGGGAGCCAGGGGGAGGGUGCCUCGCCUCUCACUGUCUCACGAUGUCGCUGCGGGAACCAACUUCACCACCGCCGCUGCCGCCCCCGCCUCCUCCUCUGACGUCCCCUGCUGCUGCCACUGCUGCUGGUGGUGUCUGGCUGCAUUUGUGACAGCUCCUCAUACUCCGCUGCUUACAUCUUCUGCGUCUUCUCCGACAGGCUUCUCUAUACCUUCCUCAUUGUCUAGCAACAUUCUCCGCUCCGCCACCCGCGCCAGUCUGACUCCAAGGCAGCCACCACAGUGUGUCACCUCCUUCAUCUUAGCUGUUAUUGAGGUGUGUGUGUGACAAGGAGUAACACCUCCUCCCGGUAACAGGUCCACAGCUUUUAGUCGUCUUAGGAUCUCACAUUUGACUAAAUCUCGCCGGAGCUGUAAAGCCUCGUCAGGACAAAAAAAAAAGUUGUUGGUGGGAGAGUUCAGGAAGAAAGUUUUUAAGUCGAGAGUUUGUACUCCAGACGUGAGGAGUUUUCUGGAGUAGCGUGAGGACUGCUGGCAGGAAGAACAUAAUAGGCUUCGUGAGUUUUUUGUGUCGUGAAGGUCGGCAGAAUUUAAGAGGCUUUCUCAGCUCUCGUAGACGUCGUUGCAGAGGUGGGUGAAGAAGUAAAGGAAGACUCAGUAGCAAGUGGGCGGUCGAGACUGCCACGUGUGUUGUGUCUGUCAGGUGCGUGUCUCUCUCGGCUCCUGAAGGACGAGAAUCGAACUUUGUCGCGCCCGAAAUAUUGGCUACGUCUGGACUGUGUAGAGAAGGAGGACAUCUGCUAUCACUCGUCUAGAACACCUGUUAUUGCUCUUUAGGGACAUCUGUUAUCUUUCUUCUAGGACAUUUGUUAUCUUCGAGGACAUUGCUAUCGCUCGCCAAGAACAUCAGUCAUCUUUCGAGGACACAAGUUAGCUCUCAUCAGGGGAAGUUUUGGAGCUCUUCAACCAGCAGGACCCUCCUACUGAAGACGUAAAACAGACAUAAAAGCUCUCACCUCCUCCCCCUCCCCCAGCAGGAGCUCAGCAGCGUCCUCGGUGGUCUCAGGGCUCGAAAAACAAGACGUGAAGUGAGAAUUGUACCUGGAAGUAACGUCAGAAUAAGAUUGAACAACUUUCCUGAACGCGGCGUGGAGAGGAGUGACGAAGGCGUUUAUAAGAGGUUACUGUCGCGUUGAUUCAGCACCAUACACGCGGCUGGUUGACCUUCCUUCUCCUCGGCGUUGACUUAUCUCCACGCAUUGAGUGUAAAUUAAAUAAAUAGUGAAGGAUUAUUUCUUAAACGGAGGUAGUUGAGUCUGUAAGGGUUGGUGAAGGUCUUCCAUCAUCUCAGAAACAAGACCGUCUUCCCCACCCCGUCAACCUUAACCCUCCCAUAACCAACCGUAGUCCGUCCCAGUAGUGGUGAUAAUUCUCCCACCCAUAAACUAGUGGAGAUAGUUUAUCCUUAGUGGUGAUAAACCUUCCCUCCUCCCAUACCGCUCUGGUGAUAACCGUUCCAUAGUGGUGAUAAUACCCCUCGUGAUAGCUUCCCCUACCAGUCACCACCACCCUAGUGACAGCGUGUGUAUGUCUGUGUGUACGUAACAUCAUCGUGAUCCUAACCAGUGCCGUCCUCUCUACCCAACACCAGGAAAUUUAUAAUUGUGAUUUAUUUCUAUACGGUGAGAGUAACUUUGUGAAGUAUUCGGUAUUGGAAGAGACUGAGGUGUCUGUAACUCGCCUGGUUGGGAGUUAGUUAAGGAGUUUUUUCUUGGACUUCUCGCCCCUCAGUACCAAUAAGGACCUUCACCCCCGUCGUCGUCGUCUUCAUCUCUCCAUCAUCGUCGACCUCGCUUGACCUACCUCCGUGCCAGCCAAGCCCUCCCGUGACCCAAGAUGACCUCCGAGAGCCCCCUGGCUGUGACCCUGGAGCGGCUGGCCCAGGGCGCCGCCAGACCCGCCGACAACGUGGAGACACUCAAGACAGUCGUGGCCAGAGUACACUCCAGGCUGAAGAUGCAGG
This is a long non-coding RNA of Homarus americanus (American lobster), 2216 nucleotides long. RefSeq lists it as uncharacterized. Lineage: Eukaryota; Metazoa; Arthropoda; Malacostraca; Decapoda; Nephropidae. The transcript is spliced from 3 exons. The record is from RefSeq and is a predicted model, not a curated record.